This 402-nucleotide ribosomal RNA is filed under the name Triticum aestivum (bread wheat). Its description in RNAcentral is "partial small subunit ribosomal RNA". The record is from RNAcentral. Lineage: Eukaryota; Viridiplantae; Streptophyta; Magnoliopsida; Poales; Poaceae.
AUGAAGCGCCUCCUCAGACGGCUCUCCCGGGUGGCCGCGGCCGACGCAUGCGCCGCCGCCGCGUAUCAGCCGCUCCGGCCCGACGCGGCCGCGAAGGCCUCCUCCUCGUCGUUCUACGGCGCGCGGAGGCUUGGCCGCGGCGCGCGCGUGCCGGAGGGGCACGUGCCGGUGUGCGUCGGCGAGGAGGGCGGCCCCAUCGAGCGCUUCGCCGUGCGGGCCGAGCUCCUGGGCCAGCCGGCGUUCAAGGCCCUGCUCCGGCGCGCCGCGCAGGAGUACGGCUACGGCCACCCGGGCGCGCUCCGCAUCCCCUGCGCCGUGGCCAACUUCCGCCGCCUCCUCCUCGGCCUCUCCGACCCCGGCUGCCAGGCCACUGACGACGACGACGCCGCGUUCUACUACUAG